AUUGAACGCUGGCGGCAUGCUUUACACAUGCAAGUCGAACGGCAGCGCGGGGGCAACCCUGGCGGCGAGUGGCGAACGGGUGAGUAAUGCAUCGGAACGUAUCCUGUAAUGGGGGAUAACGUAGCGAAAGUUACGCUAAUACCGCAUACGCUCGAGAGAGGAAAGUGGGGGAUCGCAAGACCUCACGUUAUAGGAGCGGCCGAUGUCCGAUUAGCUAGUUGGUGGGGUAAAGGCUUACCAAGCCUGCGAUCUGUAGCUGGUCUGAGAGGAUGAUCAGCCACACUGGGACUGAGACACGGCCCAGACUCCUACGGGAGGCAGCAGUGGGGAAUUUUGGACAAUGGGCGAAAGCCUGAUCCAGCCAUUCCGCGUGCAGGAUGAAGGCCCUCGGGUUGUAAACUGCUUUUGUACGGAACGAAAAGGCUCUUGCUAAUACCAGGAGUCCAUGACGGUACCGUAAGAACUAAGCACCGGCUAACUACGUGCCAGCAGCCG
Molecule: ribosomal RNA, 495 nt
Filed under: uncultured bacterium
Lineage: Bacteria
Description: bacterial SSU rRNA
Rfam family: Bacterial small subunit ribosomal RNA
Source: RNAcentral